AGAUAAUUUAGGCCCAGUCGUUUUUCUAUCUAUUUGAUUAAACGUAUGAAUGUCUCUUAUCGGCGUUGUCGACGACGCUCCAUCUCCACCGGUUGCUUCUCCUUAACUCACGCUCCAUGCCGUUUCACCAUCUGAUGCGAAUUGAAGUCUUCCAGUCCUCUACACUUUCACUUAUCCUUCCAUAUCUUCCAUCACAAUUGCUACGGUUUCGUUUGUAACUGUUAAAUAUGUUCUUCCAUCUUCUCUGAUUUAAUGAACAGUCCACUACUUCUCCCUUAAAUUGCCGUAAGUUCUUCUGUUAUAUAAACCAACCUCUAGCCAGAUUCCGACUUAGGGUUUCCUCCAUGUUGAUUUAUAUCAGUUCUACCAUCGUCACAAAGAGGAUUUCUAAGUCUUUCUCGUAUUACGUGAUUCGAUUUAAACAAGUUUUGGAAUAAGCAACGGAUCUUGUUCCAAGAGCAGCUCUCUAAGAAAUGAGCUUGAGAAUGGUGUUGAUGAAGAAGAGCAUGAUCUGCAAUGGGGUGGGAUCCAGAGAUUUCCCACUUUUAAACGGUUGCGGUUUUCUCUGGUGGAAAACCAUGGCGAGGCUGCAGAGAAAGGGAAAAAGGUUGUUGAUGUCACCAAGCCUAAAGCCAUGGAACGUCAUCUGAUGAUUGAGAAGCUCAUCAAACACAUUGAGAAUGAUAAUCUCAAGCUGCUCAACAAAAUCAGAAGAAGGAUGGACAGGGUCGGUGUGGAGUUCCUGAGCACAGAGGUGAGGUAUGAGCAUUUAGGCGUGGAAGCAGAAUGUGAGGUCGUUGAAGGGAAGGCACUUCGUCUUUAUGGAACUCUUUGAAGCAUGUUUUCUUAGUGAGUAUACUGAAGAAUGUAAUGUGGAGUUUAACUUUUGUAGUAGCUGGGGUUGAAUUAAAUUCUAAUCUUUUUUCUUCAGGACUUGAUUAGCUACUUAAUUAUGUUUUGUGUGGAAUCUUCAUAUCCUCGGGCUUGAUAUUUGUGCAGAAACAUUGGUUGGAAAUGCAAUGAGAUGAGGCAUAUCCGGCGGGCAAGAGAAGUGUCUUACCACAUGUUAGUUAGUUCAUAGCCAAGAGUUCUCUAUCUGAUUCACCUUGUUCUUAGGAUAUGAAUGAACUCAGUUUUUUGGGUGAUUGGAGUUUGUAUGUAUAGAUCUUUUACCAAUCUGACUUCAUUUUAGUUUCCCACGAAUUUGUAAUAUCUAUUUAGUUUAUUGCAGGUUUCUCAGUCACCAUCACCGUAACAUGUGAGUGAUUUCUGACUUCUUUUUUUUGUUACUUGAGUUUUGAUAAUUGAAUAAAAAUUGUUCACUUCAAAGGUUUGAUACGUAUAUGCAUUGAUAUUUGAUACUGUGGACAAAGUUAUUUUCCUUCAGUAUCCAUUUUCUUUUAUGUUUGAUCACCAUAAGUUAAUUUCUUACAGUGGAACAUCUCUAAUAUGGUAAAAACUUCUCAUCAUUUCUAAUAGGGGAAGAAACUUCUCGUCUUUGGGACAACAAGUGAACUAACCUUCUUAGAUUCUGUUGGUAUCUGUGAUUCCUUCUCUGUCACAGAUACUAACAGAAUCUAACUGCAC
Molecule: non-coding RNA, 1587 nt
Organism: Camelina sativa (false flax)
Lineage: Eukaryota; Viridiplantae; Streptophyta; Magnoliopsida; Brassicales; Brassicaceae
Source: RefSeq, a predicted model, not a curated record